This 415-nucleotide ribosomal RNA is filed under the name uncultured bacterium. Its description in RNAcentral is "bacterial SSU rRNA". It matches the Rfam family "Bacterial small subunit ribosomal RNA", at positions 355 to 786 of the family's 1533-position model. The record is from RNAcentral.
UCGGGAAUAUUGCGCAAUGGAGGGAACUCUGACGCAGUGACGCCGCGUGCAGGAAGAAGGUUUUCGGAUUGUAAACUGCUUUAGACAGGGAAGAAAAAUGACAGUACCUGUAGAAUAAGCUCCGGCUAACUACGUGCCAGCAGCCGCGGUAAUACGUAGGGAGCGAGCGUUAUCCGGAUUUAUUGGGUGUAAAGGGUGCGUAGACGGGAAAUUAAGUUAGUUGUGAAAUCCCUCGGCUUAACUGAGGAGCUGCAACUAAAACUGAUUUUCUUGAGUACUGGAGAGGAAAGUGGAAUUCCUAGUGUAGCGGUGAAAUGCGUAGAUAUUAGGAGGAACACCAGUGGCGAAGGCGACUUUCUGGACAGAAACUGACGUUGAGGCACGAAAGUGUGGGGAGCAAACAGGAUUAGAUACC